UUUCCGUAGGUGAACCUGCGGAAGGAUCAUUAAAGAGUAAGGGUCUUCGGGCCCGAUCUCCAACCCUUUGUUUAACUACCAUGUUGCUUUGGCGGGCCCGUCUCACGACCGCCGGAAGUUUGGCUUCGACCAAAUUUCUGGCCCGUGCCCGUCAGUGGCCCCUUCAAAUUCUUGAUCAAGUAUGAUGUCUUAGUUAAAAACUUAAUAGUUAAAACUUUCAACAACGGAUCUCUUGGUUCUG
Molecule: unclassified non-coding RNA, 241 nt
Filed under: plant metagenome
Description: partial contains small subunit ribosomal RNA, internal transcribed spacer 1, and 5.8S ribosomal RNA
Source: RNAcentral